GUGAGGAAUAUUGGACAAUGGGCGCAAGCCUGAUCCAGCCAUGCCGCGUGCAGGAAGACGCAUCUAUGGUGUGUAAACUGCUUUUGUACGGGAAGAAACACUCCCUCGUGAGGGAGCUUGACGGUACCGUAAGAAUAAGGAUCGGCUAACUCCGUGCCAGCAGCCGCGGUAAUACGGAGGAUCCAAGCGUUAUCCGGAAUCAUUGGGUUUAAAGGGUCCGUAGGCGGUUUAAUAAGUCAGUGGUGAAAGCCCAUCGCUCAACGAUGGAACGGCCAUUGAUACUGUUAGACUUGAAUUACAAGGAAGUAACUAGAAUAUGUAGUGUAGCGGUGAAAUGCUUAGAUAUUACAUGGAAUACCAAUUGCGAAGGCAGGUUACUACUUGUGGAUUGACGCUGAUGGACGAAAGCGUGGGGAGCGAACAGGAUUAGAUACCCUAGCAGUCC
Molecule: ribosomal RNA, 445 nt
Filed under: uncultured bacterium
Lineage: Bacteria
Description: partial 16S ribosomal RNA
Rfam family: Bacterial small subunit ribosomal RNA
Source: RNAcentral